RNAcentral lists this ribosomal RNA (460 nucleotides) under uncultured bacterium. RNAcentral describes it as "partial 16S ribosomal RNA". It matches the Rfam family "Bacterial small subunit ribosomal RNA", at positions 338 to 795 of the family's 1533-position model. The record is from RNAcentral.
CCUACGGGAGGCAGCAGUGAGGAAUAUUGGUCAAUGGACGAGAGUCUGAACCAGCAAAGUAGCGUGAAGGAUGACUGCCCUAUGGGUUGUAAACUUCUUUUAUAUGGGAAUAAAAUGUUCCACGUGUGGGAUUUUGUAUGUACCAUAUGAAUUAGGAUCGGCUAACUCCGUGCCAGCAGCAGCGGUAAUAAGGAGGAUCCGAGCGUUAUCCGGAUUUAUUGGGUUUAAGGGUAGCGUAGGUGGAUAGUGAAGUCAGUUGUGAAAGUUUGCGGCUCAACCGUGAAAUUGCAGUUAAGACUGGCAGUCUUGAGUACAGUAGAGGUGAGCGGAAUUCGUAGUGUAGCGGUGAAAUGCUUAGAGAUCACGAAGAACACCGAUUGCGAAGGCAGUUCACUGGACUGCAACUGACACUGAGGCUCGAAAGUGUGGGUAUCAAACAGGAUUAGAUACCCGAGUAGUC